RNAcentral lists this ribosomal RNA (165 nucleotides) under uncultured bacterium. RNAcentral describes it as "partial 16S ribosomal RNA". It matches the Rfam family "Bacterial small subunit ribosomal RNA", at positions 355 to 509 of the family's 1533-position model. The record is from RNAcentral.
UAGGGAAUCUUCCACAAUGGACGAAAGUCUGAAUGGAGCAACGCCGCGUGAGUGAAGAAGGGUUUCGGCUCGUAAAGCUCUGUUGGUAGUGAAGAAAGAUAGAGGUAGUAACUGGCCUUUAUUUGACGGUAAUUACUUACGAAAAGUCACGGCUAACUACGUGCC